GAUGGGGCUGCGGCCGAUCAGGCAGUUGGUGAGGUAAUGGCUCACCAAACCUUUGACCGGUACGGGCCAUGAGAGUGGUAGCCCGGAGAUGGAUACUGAGACAAGGAUCCAGGCCCUACGGGGCGCAGCAGGCGCGAAACCUCCUCAAUGCACUCACGUGCGAAGGGGUUACCUCGAGUGCCAUCUGAAGAAGGUGGCUUUUCCUUGGUCUAAAUAGCCUUGGGAAUAAGAGGGGGGCAAGACUGGUGUCAGCCGCCGCGGUAACACCAGCCCCUCGAGUGGUGGGGAUGAUUAUUUGGCCUAAAGCGUCCGUAGCCGGCCGAGUAAGUUUCCCGUUAAAUCCAGCGUCUCAAGCGUUGGACUGCGGGAAAUACUGCCCGGCUAGAGAGUGGGAGAGGUAGGCGGUAUUCUGGGGGUAGGGGCGAAAUCCUUUGAUCCCCGGAGGACCACCAGUGGCGAAGGCUGCUUACUAGAACACGUCUGACGGUCAGGGACGAAAGCUGGGG
Molecule: ribosomal RNA, 506 nt
Filed under: uncultured archaeon
Lineage: Archaea
Description: bacterial SSU rRNA
Rfam family: Archaeal small subunit ribosomal RNA
Source: RNAcentral